CCUACGGUGAGCAGCAGUGGGGGAUAUUGCACAAUGGGGGAAACCCUGAUGCAGCGACGCCGCGUGGGUGAAGAAGUAUUUCGGUAUGUAAAGCCCUAUCAGCAGGGAAGAAAGAAGACGGUACCUGACUAAGAAGCCCCGGCUAACUACGUGCCAGCAGCCGCGGUAAUACGUAGGGGGCGAGCGUUAUCCGGAUUUACUGGGUGUAAAGGGAGCGUAGACGGCAGUGCAAGUCUGAAGUGAAAGGCAAGGGCUCAACCCUUGGACUGCUUUGGAAACUGUGCUGCUGGAGUGUCGGAGAGGCAAGUGGAAUUCCUAGUGUAGCGGUGAAAUGCGUAGAUAUUAGGAGGAACACCGGUGGCGAAGGCGGCUUACUGGACCGUAACUGACGUUGAGGCUCGAAAGCGUGGGGAGCAAACAGGAUUAGAUACCCUAGUAGUC
This 441-nucleotide ribosomal RNA is filed under the name uncultured bacterium. RNAcentral describes it as "partial 16S ribosomal RNA". It matches the Rfam family "Bacterial small subunit ribosomal RNA", at positions 338 to 795 of the family's 1533-position model. The record is from RNAcentral.